UACGGGAGGCAGCAGUGGGGAAUAUUGGACAAUGGGCGAAAGCCUGAUCCAGCCAUGCCGCGUGUGUGAAGAAGGUCUUCGGAUUGUAAAGCACUUUAAGUUGGGAGGAAGGGCAUUAACCUAAUACGUUAGUGUUUUGACGUUACCGACAGAAUAAGCACCGGCUAACUUCGUGCCAGCAGCCGCGGUAAUACGAAGGGUGCAAGCGUUAAUCGGAAUUACUGGGCGUAAAGCGCGCGUAGGUGGUUUGUUAAGUUGAAUGUGAAAGCCCCGGGCUCAACCUGGGAACUGCAUCCAAAACUGGCAAGCUAGAGUAUGGCAGAGGGUGGUGGAAUUUUCCUGUGUAGCGGUGAAAUGCGUAGAUAUAGGAAGGAACACCAGUGGCGAAGGCGACCACCUGGGCUAAUACUGACACUGAGGUGCGAAAGCGUGGGGAGCGAAACAGGGAUUAGAUACC
Molecule: ribosomal RNA, 457 nt
Filed under: uncultured bacterium
Lineage: Bacteria
Description: bacterial SSU rRNA
Rfam family: Bacterial small subunit ribosomal RNA
Source: RNAcentral